Molecule: ribosomal RNA, 254 nt
Filed under: uncultured bacterium
Lineage: Bacteria
Description: partial 16S ribosomal RNA
Rfam family: Bacterial small subunit ribosomal RNA
Source: RNAcentral
UACGGGGGGAGCAAGCGUUGUUCGGAUUUACUGGGCGUAAAGGGCGCGUAGGCGGUCAGCGCAAGUCAGUUGUGAAAUCUCCGGGCUUAACUCGGAAAGGUCAACUGAUACUGUGCGACUAGAGUGCGGAAGGGGCAACUGGAAUUCUCGGUGUAGCGGUGAAAUGCGUAGAUAUCGAGAGGAACACCUGAGAUGUAGAUGGCUUACUGGACCGUAACUGACGCUGAGGCACGAAAGCGUGGGUAGCAAACAGG